UGGCGGACGGGUGAGUAACGCGUGGGUGACCUGCCCCAUACCGGGGGAUAACAGCUGGAAACGGCUGCUAAUACCGCAUAAGCGCACAGAGCCGCAUGGCUCGGUGUGAAAAACUCCGGUGGUAUGGGAUGGGCCCGCGUCUGAUUAGGCAGUUGGCGGGGUAACGGCCCACCAAACCGACGAUCAGUAGCCGGCCUGAGAGGGCGACCGGCCACAUUGGGACUGAGACACGGCCCAA
RNAcentral lists this ribosomal RNA (238 nucleotides) under uncultured bacterium. Its description in RNAcentral is "partial 16S ribosomal RNA". It matches the Rfam family "Bacterial small subunit ribosomal RNA", at positions 96 to 334 of the family's 1533-position model. The record is from RNAcentral.